Molecule: long non-coding RNA, 307 nt
Filed under: Suricata suricatta (meerkat)
Lineage: Eukaryota; Metazoa; Chordata; Mammalia; Carnivora; Herpestidae
Description: lncRNA (ENSSSUG00005009166.1)
Source: RNAcentral
AUGUACUUACAGUAAUGGUAGACAAAGACCUCAGCCGCCUCAGGAGAGGCUGAGAUCUCAGCCUGGGGUCCUCCGCUGAGAGACCGAGGAGGAGCCCGAGACCAUUCUUGGACAUCCUGUGAAUAUCAGAAGAUACAUUUUGGAGGCGUUAAAAGAAGGGGAUAUGGUCUUCACAUUUGCCUCCAUGGUUCCACCCAACCUUCCUUGGACACAAACAUACCUUGACAAGUGAUCUUGCCUAAGCAAGGACAAAGCUAUUAAAAAGGAUUCCAUCCUCCUCCUCCUCCUUCCUGUGCCCAACCUCUAC